AAUGAACGUUGGCGGCGUGGAUUAGGCAUGCAAGUCGAGCGAGAACCCCGCAAGGGGGGACAGCGGCGAAAGGGACAGUAAUGUGUAGAUUAUCUGCCCUCAGGUCCGGGAUAGCUGCGGGAAACUGCAGGUAAUACCGGAUAACAUCUCCGGAUCAAAGGUGUGAUUCCGCCUGAGGAUGAGUCUGCAUCCUAUUAGCUAGUGGGUGGGGUAAUGGCCUACCAAGGCAUUGAUGGGUAGCAGGUGUGAGAGCACGACCUGCGUCAUUGGGACUGAGACACUGACAAGACAACUACGGGUGGCUGCAGUCGAGAAUCUUCGGCAAUGGGAGCAAGGCUGACCGAGCGACGCCGCGUGUAGGAUGAAGGCCGUCGGGUUGUAAACCACUGUCAGAGGGGAAGAAAUGCAGGUGGGUUCUCCCAUCUGUUUGACAUAGCCUCAGAGGAAGGACGGGCUAAGUUCGUG
Molecule: ribosomal RNA, 465 nt
Filed under: uncultured bacterium
Lineage: Bacteria
Description: partial 16S ribosomal RNA
Rfam family: Bacterial small subunit ribosomal RNA
Source: RNAcentral